CACGUAGGGGGCGAGCGUUGUCCGGAUUUAUUGGGCGUAAAGAGCUCGUAGGCGGCUCGGUAAGUCAGGUGUGAAACCUCCAGGCUCAACCUGGAGACGCCACCUGAUACUGCCGUGGCUAGAGUCCGGUAGAGGAGCGUAGAAUUCCUGGUGUAGCGGUGAAAUGCGCAGAUAUCAGGAGGAAUACCAGCGGCGAAGGCGGGUCUCUGGGCCGAUACUGACGCUGAGGAGCGAAAGCGUGGGGAGCGAACAGG
RNAcentral lists this ribosomal RNA (254 nucleotides) under uncultured bacterium. RNAcentral's name for it is "partial 16S ribosomal RNA". It matches the Rfam family "Bacterial small subunit ribosomal RNA", at positions 524 to 776 of the family's 1533-position model. The record is from RNAcentral.